Molecule: non-coding RNA, 75 nt
Organism: Myotis davidii
Lineage: Eukaryota; Metazoa; Chordata; Mammalia; Chiroptera; Vespertilionidae
Source: Rfam
GAUGGUUCUCAGGUGAUGCACUCUGGAAUCGGGCUCCCUCCUCUUUGGCUCUGGGUGUAUCACCUGAGAACCACA